AUUGAACGCUGGCGGCAUGCUUUACACAUGCAAGUCGAACGGCAGCGCGGGCUUCGGCCUGGCGGCGAGUGGCGAACGGGUGAGUAAUGCAUCGGAACGUGCCCAGCAGUGGGGGAUAGCCCGGCGAAAGCCGGAUUAAUACCGCAUACGACCUGAGGGUGAAAGCGGGGGACCGAAAGGCCUUGCGCUAUUGGAGCGGCCGACGUCGGAUUAGCUAGUUGGUGGGGUAAAGGCUUACCAAGGCGACGAUCCGUAGCUGGACUGAGAGGACGACCAGCCACACUGGGACUGAGACACGGCCCAGACUCCUACGGGAGGCAGCAGUGGGGAAUUUUGGACAAUGGGGGCAACCCUGGUCCAGCCAUGCCGCGUGCGGGAAGAAGGCCUUCGGGUUGUAAACCGCUUUUGUUCGGGAAGAAAUCCUCUGGGCUAAUACCCCGGGGGGAUGACGGUACCGGAAGAAUAAGCACCGGCUAACUACGUG
This 484-nucleotide ribosomal RNA is filed under the name uncultured bacterium. RNAcentral describes it as "partial 16S ribosomal RNA". It matches the Rfam family "Bacterial small subunit ribosomal RNA", at positions 28 to 507 of the family's 1533-position model. The record is from RNAcentral.